GACGAACGCUGGCGGCGUGCUUAACACAUGCAAGUCGAACGGAAAGGCCCUGCUUGCAGGGUACUCGAGUGGCGAACGGGUGAGUAACACGUGGGUGAUCUGCCCUGCACUUCGGGAUAAGCCUGGGAAACUGGGUCUAAUACCGGAUAGGAGCCAUUUUUAGUGUGAUGGUUGGAAAGUUUUUUCGGUGUAGGAUGAGCUCGCGGCCUAUCAGCUUGUUGGUGGGGUAAUGGCCUACCAAGGCGGCGACGGGUAGCCGGCCUGAGAGGGUGGACGGCCACAUUGGGACUGAGAUACGGCCCAGACUCCGACGGGAGGCAGCAGGGGGGAAUAUUGCACAAUGGGCGCAAGCCUGAUGCAGAGACGCCGCGGGGGGGAUGACGGCCUUCGGGUUGUAAACACCUUGCGCUAGGGACGAAGCUUUUUGUGACGGUACCUAGAGAAGAAGCACCGGCUAACUACGUG
RNAcentral lists this ribosomal RNA (465 nucleotides) under uncultured bacterium. RNAcentral describes it as "partial 16S ribosomal RNA". It matches the Rfam family "Bacterial small subunit ribosomal RNA", at positions 28 to 507 of the family's 1533-position model. The record is from RNAcentral.